UUUUGAAUUUAAUUUAAAGUCUGAUCUGCCCACUGAUAAAUUAUUGAAUGGCCGCGGAAUUUUAACUGUGCAAAGGUAGCAUAAUCAUUAGUCUUUUAAUUGGAGGCUUGUAUGAAUGAUUGGACGAGAUAUAGACUGUCUCAAAAUUGAAUUAAUUGAAUUUUACUUUUUAGUUAAAAGGCUAAAAUUUUUUUGAAAGACGAGAAGACCCUAUAGAUCUUUAUAUUUAUUAUAUUAAUUAUUUUUUGGUUAUUUUUUAUAAUUAAUUUAGUAAUUAUUUUAUUGGGGCAAUAUUGAAAUUUUAUUAAUUUUCAAUUAUAUUUUACAUUAAUAUAUGAAUUAUUGAUCCAGUAUUAUUGAUUAAAAGUUUAAGUUACCUUAGGGAUAACAGCGUAAUUAUUUUGGAGAGUUCUUAUCGAUAAAAUAGUUUGCGACCUCGAUGUUGGAUUAAGAUUAAUUUUAGGCGUAGCAGUUUAAAAUAUUGAGUCUGUUCGACUCUUAAUAUCUUACGUGAUCUGAGUUCA
RNAcentral lists this ribosomal RNA (524 nucleotides) under Diptera sp. BOLD:ACO2095. Its description in RNAcentral is "partial 16S ribosomal RNA". It matches the Rfam family "Bacterial large subunit ribosomal RNA", at positions 1831 to 2613 of the family's 2925-position model. The record is from RNAcentral. Lineage: Eukaryota; Metazoa; Arthropoda; Insecta; Diptera.